GGCUUAAAGUUUGAUCAUGGCUCAAAUUGAACGCUGGCGGCAGGCCUAACACUUGCAAGUCAAACGGUAACAGGAAAAACCUUGCUUCUUUGCUGACAAGUGGCGAACGGGUGAGUAAUGUCUGGAAAACUGCCUGAUGGAGGGGGAUAACUACUGGAAACGGUAGCUAAUACCGCAUAACGUCCCAGGACCAAAAAGGGGGACCUUCGGGCCUCUUGCCUUCGGAUGUGCCCAGAUGGGAUUAGCUUGUUGGGGGGGUAACGGCUCACCAAGGCAACAAUCCCUAGCUGGUCUGAAAGGAUGACCAGCCACACUGGAACUGAAACACGGUCCAAACUCCUACGGAAGGCAGCAGUGGGGAAUAUUGCACAAUGGGCGCAAGCCUGAUGCAGCCUUGCCGCGUGUAUGAAGAAGGCCUUCGGGUUGUAAAGUACUUUCAGCGGGAAGGAAGGGAGUAAAGUUAAUACCUUUGCUCAUUGACGUUACCCGCAGAAGAAGCACCGGCUAACUCCGUGCCAGCAGCCGCGGUGAUACGGAGGGUGCAAGCGUUAAUCGGAAUUACUGGGCGUAAAGCGCACGCAGGCGGUUUGUUAAGUCAGAUGUGAAAUCCCCGGGCUCACCCUGGAACUGCAUCUGAUACUGCAAGCUUGAGUCUCGUAGAGGGGGUAGAUUCCAGGUGUAGCGUGAAUGCGUAGA
Molecule: ribosomal RNA, 696 nt
Filed under: uncultured organism
Description: bacterial SSU rRNA
Rfam family: Bacterial small subunit ribosomal RNA
Source: RNAcentral